AAAUUGAAGAGUUUGAUCAUGGCUCAGAUUGAACGCUGGCGGCAGGCCUAACACAUGCAAGUCGAACGGUAACAGGAAGCAGCUUGCUGUUUCGCUGACGAGUGGCGGACGGGUGAGUAAUGUCUGGGAAACUGCCUGAUGGAGGGGGAUAACUACUGGAAACGGUGGCUAAUACCGCAUAACGUCGCAAGACCAAAGAGGGGGAC
Molecule: ribosomal RNA, 206 nt
Filed under: Salmonella enterica
Lineage: Bacteria; Pseudomonadati; Pseudomonadota; Gammaproteobacteria; Enterobacterales; Enterobacteriaceae
Also listed under: 2 other names
Description: partial 16S ribosomal RNA
Rfam family: Bacterial small subunit ribosomal RNA
Source: RNAcentral